Molecule: ribosomal RNA, 237 nt
Filed under: uncultured bacterium
Lineage: Bacteria
Description: partial 16S ribosomal RNA
Rfam family: Bacterial small subunit ribosomal RNA
Source: RNAcentral
CGGGACGGGUGAGUAACGCGUGGGUAACCUGCCCUGUACAGGGGGAUAACAGUCAGAAAUGACUGCUAAUACCGCAUAAGACCACAGCACCGCAUGGUGCAGGGGUAAAAACUACCGGUGGUACAGGAUGGACCCGCGUCUGAUUAGCUGGUUGGUGAGGUAACGGCUCACCAAGGCGACGAUCAGUAGCCGGCUUGAGAGAGUGAACGGCCACAUUGGGACUGAGACACGGCCCAA